UCCCUCUUAGCUCAGUUGGUAGAGCGCGUCACUAGUAUUCGGUUCUCUGAUCCAAUCUAUGACGAGGUCAGUCGUUCAAAUCGGCUAGCGGGAA
Non-coding RNA from Mycena albidolilacea, 94 nucleotides. NCBI's taxonomy places the organism in Eukaryota, Fungi, Basidiomycota, Agaricomycetes, Agaricales, Mycenaceae. The record is from the annotation of a GenBank genome assembly.